This 474-nucleotide ribosomal RNA is filed under the name uncultured bacterium. RNAcentral's name for it is "SSU rRNA". It matches the Rfam family "Bacterial small subunit ribosomal RNA", at positions 26 to 518 of the family's 1533-position model. The record is from RNAcentral.
AGGAUGAACGCUGGCGGCGUGCCUAACACAUGCAAGUCGAACGUCCUGUCUCGCAAGAGGCAGGGAGUGGCGGACGGGUGAGUACCACGUGGGUUAUCUACCGUGAGGUGAGGAAUACCGGCGAGAAAUCGCCGACAAGACCGCAUAGCCUCGGUGCAAGCCGAGGAAAGCUUUCUCGAGAGAGGGAGCGCCACACGAGGAGCCUGCGCCCGAUUAGCUAGCUGGUGGAGUAACGGUUCACCAGGGCGACGAUCGGUAGCUGGUCUGAGAGGACGAUCAGCCACACUGGGAUUGAGAACGGCCCAGACUCCUACGGGGGGCAGCAGUGAGGAAUUUUCGUCAAUGGGGGCAACCCUGAACGAGCAACGCCGCGUGCAGGAAGAAGGUUUUCGGAUCGUAAACUGCUUUUCUCGGGGAAGAGAACGGACGGUACCCGAGGAAUCACGCCCCGGCUAACUACGUGCCAGCAGCCGC